RNAcentral lists this ribosomal RNA (221 nucleotides) under uncultured bacterium. RNAcentral describes it as "partial 16S ribosomal RNA". It matches the Rfam family "Bacterial small subunit ribosomal RNA", at positions 524 to 746 of the family's 1533-position model. The record is from RNAcentral.
UACGGAGGGUGCAAGCGUUAUCCGGAUUCACUGGGUUUAAAGGGCUCGUAGGCGGUCUGUUGCGUCAGGAGUGAAAACUCGGGGCUUAACCCCGAGCCUGCUUCUGAUACGGGCAGACUAGAGGUAUGCAGGGGAGAACGGAAUUCCUGGUGUAGCGGUGAAAUGCGUGACGAUCAGGAGGAACACCGUGGCGAAGGCGUCUACUGGGCAUUAUCUGACGC